RNAcentral lists this ribosomal RNA (224 nucleotides) under uncultured bacterium. Its description in RNAcentral is "partial 16S ribosomal RNA". It matches the Rfam family "Bacterial small subunit ribosomal RNA", at positions 524 to 747 of the family's 1533-position model. The record is from RNAcentral.
UACGAAGGUCCCGAGCGUUGUUCGGAAUCACUGGGCGUAAAGGGAGCGUAGGCGGCAUGGUAAGUCAGAUGUGAAAUCCCGGGGCUCAACCCCGGAACUGCAUCCGAUACUGCCUUGCUUGAGGGUUGGAGAGGUGACUGGAAUUCUCGGUGUAGCAGUGAAAUGCGUGGAUAUCGAGAGGAACACUCGUGGCGAAGGCGAGUCACUGGACAACAUCUGACGCU